CAUCAAAGUAAUGGAGACUCAUAAGGGAGGGACCAGAAUUUAUUUCCGCCGGCUAGGGUUCCACUGCGAACUCGAUGACGAUGGUGAUUUUCGGUUUAGCGGCGGCUAGGGUUUCACUGCUAAGAUGAUGACAAUUUGGAAGAAGAAAUCGUGUUUCUUAGACGACGACUAUUGUUAUGUGGACCACGAUUUGUUCUCAUCCGGUCAGGAAACCGCUUCUAAUGCCCAUCACCGGAGUAACAGACAGAGAACAGAAGAAUAGAGAGAUGAUGGUUCGUUUUCCUGCUUCUUCUUGACACCGAUUCGUCCUCAUUAGAGGAUUCCGUUCUUGAAAUCGAACUCACUGUGGGUGAUGUAGCUGGUAUUCAUCAGAUAUGCUAGCCCUAUGGUCGACUAAUGUUGUGAUGGUGAAAACAUCGAUUAAAAUUAGAGACUGCUUGCGAUGAUGUGGUCAAUCAUGUUAGAUUAGUAAUUAACAAAACUGACACAAAUAGCCGAAACCUCUGCACAAACAUAUCAUUUCCUAAAACUUCAACAGAACAAACUCCACCAGUCUUUUCCUCAAACAAAGCAAAAAUUCCUAAAUUACAAAUCCAUCCUCAAACUUUCAGGUACAUGGGUUUGAAUUUCUUUGCAUCUUCUGCGAUUGGUUAUCUCUUUUGGAUUGUGUACGAACGGAGGUCUUUGUUGGUGGGAGGAAAGGUGCACCGACGUAAUUUGGAUCAGAGCAGUGCUUCUAAGAAGGGGCAUCAGGAAUGAUAGGAAGGGGAAACAACUUUUGAACAGUUGGCCACUAGAAAAACAACGCGACUGGAAGCCGUUGGUCAAGAAGCCACAUUGCCUAGGACAAUCUCCAUUUUUUCAAGUUAUGUAAAUAACAUCCUUAAUGUUAGUCAUGUAACGUGCAGCCGUAACCUUUGUAUUAAACUUGGAUACCAUAUUUUGGGGUACACCAUAUCUAAUCGAUGUGACUGUGACUUUGAUGGAAUGCCACACGGCUUAAGAGAAAUAUAAAUCUCGCCCCCUGCCGCAUCGCGGCGGGUUGUGCUUCUAGUUUAA
Long non-coding RNA from Helianthus annuus (common sunflower), 1059 nucleotides. RefSeq lists it as uncharacterized. Lineage: Eukaryota; Viridiplantae; Streptophyta; Magnoliopsida; Asterales; Asteraceae. The record is from RefSeq and is a predicted model, not a curated record. The transcript has 6 exons.